RNAcentral lists this ribosomal RNA (501 nucleotides) under uncultured bacterium. RNAcentral's name for it is "partial 16S ribosomal RNA". It matches the Rfam family "Bacterial small subunit ribosomal RNA", at positions 30 to 523 of the family's 1533-position model. The record is from RNAcentral.
ACUGAACGCUGGCGGCAUGCCUUACACAUGCAAGUCGAACGGCAGCACGGGUGCUUGCACCUGGUGGCGAGUGGCGAACGGGUGAGUAAUACAUCGGAACGUACCUUAUCGUGGGGGAUAACGCAGCGAAAGCUGUGCUAAUACCGCAGACGCCCUGAGGGGGAAAGGGGGGGAUCGAAAGACCUCGCGCGAUUAGAGCGGCCGAUGCCUGAUUAGCUUGUUGGUGGGGUAAAAGCCCACCAAGGCGACGAUCAGUAGCUGGUCUGAGAGGACGAUCAGCCACACUGGGACUGAGACACGGCCCAGACUCCUACGGGAGGCAGCAGUGGGGAAUUUUGGACAAUGGGGGCAACCCUGAUCCAGCAAUGCCGCGUGAGUGAAGAAGGCCUUCGGGUUGUAAAGCUCUUUUGUCAGGGAAGAAACAGCAGCUCUAACACAGUCUGCGAAUGACGGUACCUGAAGAAUAAGCACCGGCUAACUACGUGCCAGCAGCCGCCGUAA